CAACCCGUUCGUGUCCACUGUGCCGCCGACUCCCUUACUGUGCGCCACUUCGCUUGAGUCCCCGAACCAGCGCCGCGAUGAUCCUUCGCCCAAGCUCACGGCGACGAGUGGUUCACCGCAGCCUCACCGAAGCCUCUCAGUCCCCUACCCUCGUCUAUAGUAUCACCGGGGUUCUCCUCUCCGGAUUUCUACGCCGUGCAAAGAACCCUCAGCUGGGUGAGGAGGUUGGAGCUCGGUAGACACCGGAAUUGGAUCGUCUGCUCUAGAGCUAGAUAGUGGCGAGGACUGGUACUCCGGGUGGCUAUCUCGUCUUCCCAAGGCUUAGGGCUGAGCUGAGUUCGUUGGAUACUUCUUCUCCGUCGGGCUUUCCUUCGCCGACUGUGGGGGAUUUCUCCAUUAAGGGUCUUGCUGUGAGGGGCUCGAACACCAUUCCCAAUAGCUGUUCUUCGUUUGAGAACCAUUAGCCCUGUAAAAGCUUGGUUGGGUGAUCUGUGGCAGUAGACUCCACUAGCGAGCACUUUGCCAGCAAUUCCACUUUCGAACAGAGGGUUAACGGAAGGGAUUUUUGCUCUAAGGUAGCCAUUAGUUGAUGCCAGUAUGCUUGGAGGAGGAUCCCGACUGCCAGUCCCACGUCGUUUCCGAGGACGGAUUUCUGAUUUUGUUUAUCUUUCGGGUUGUGAGUUGAACCUUUGAACUUGGUGUUAUAAUAACCCAUUUGGGGACUUGAUGUUAUUCUGUGAUUGGUUUUGCUUUGUCGAGGAGUCAAGCCGAGCCGGCCCGCAGUGAGUUUCUUUUGGUAUUUUGGUACUUA
This is a long non-coding RNA of Zingiber officinale, 811 nucleotides long. RefSeq lists it as uncharacterized. The record is from RefSeq and is a predicted model, not a curated record. Lineage: Eukaryota; Viridiplantae; Streptophyta; Magnoliopsida; Zingiberales; Zingiberaceae. The transcript is spliced from 4 exons.